RNAcentral lists this ribosomal RNA (492 nucleotides) under uncultured bacterium. RNAcentral describes it as "partial 16S ribosomal RNA". It matches the Rfam family "Bacterial small subunit ribosomal RNA", at positions 29 to 507 of the family's 1533-position model. The record is from RNAcentral.
AGUGAACGCUGGCGGUAGGCCUAACACAUGCCAGUCGAACGGCAGCACAGUAAGAGCUUGCUCUUACGGGUGGCGAGUGGCGGACGGGUGAGGAAUACAUCGGAAUCUACUUUUUCGUGGGGGAUAACGUAGGGAAACUUACGCUAAUACCGCAUACGACCUACGGGUGAAAGCAGGGGAUCUUCGGACCUUGCGCGAUUGAAUGAGCCGAUGUCGGAUUAGCUAGUUGGCGGGGUAAAGGCCCACCAAGGCGACGAUCCGUAGCUGGUCUGAGAGGAUGAUCAGCCACACUGGAACUGAGACACGGUCCAGACUCCUACGGGAGGCAGCAGUGGGGAAUAUUGGACAAUGGGCGCAAGCCUGAUCCAGCCAUACCGCGUGGGUGAAGAAGGCCUUCGGGUUGUAAAGCCCUUUUGUUAGGAAAGAAAAGCAGCAGGUUAAUACCCCGCUGUUCUGACGGUACCCAAAGAAUAAGCACCGGCUAACUUCGUG